Long non-coding RNA from Dermacentor albipictus, 5825 nucleotides. RefSeq lists it as uncharacterized. Lineage: Eukaryota; Metazoa; Arthropoda; Arachnida; Ixodida; Ixodidae. The record is from RefSeq and is a predicted model, not a curated record.
CUUUCACGUGACCUCUGGCCUGGAUUUAAAAUUUUUACCGGUAUUUCCGAGUGCACGGCGGCACGGAUUCAUUCGUUCGUACACUCAAGACUGGUUGCUUCUUUGUUUCUAAAACUAGUUUCUUGCGCUUCUAUGUAACUUGGGGUGAAGUUACGUGUUUGCAAGCGGACAUGUAAGCCCGGCAGUUGGGUUUCGGUCGUGAGCCAUUCGGAACAGGUCUGCAUCGAAACGGGAGCUGGAUUUUGCUGCGGCUGACAACGGCAAUAACGACAUGCAGUAAUGAGGACGGCACCAGUAUAAAGCAACACACUCCACGCACUAAACAGAAGCUGCUGCCUGCUACGACAAGGUCAUUGUGUGGACAUUGGCUACUACUACAAGAGUCUAUGCCAAGCACAUCUUGGUCAUCACAGGAGCUCCUAUCUGCACCAACAGGAAGGGGCUGGAGCCGAAUUUGCAAGGCUUUUACACCAAGAACAAAGAAGCACAUGCACAAGAAUAUGGAUGAGAUAUCAAGUCUGCAAAGGACUGUGUUAAGACUGCAAAGAGCUUCAGCCACCAUUCCACCAGCACGGACAUUUGGCUGAGUCAUCCAAGUAACUCAAAAAGGACUUUCUAGAAAUUCUUCGUCUUCAGAUGCACCUGCAACAUCUGACCAAGCACGGACGACGCUGGCCAAAAGAUUGAGUUUCAUCAGUUCGUCCUUAAUCAGCUUCCAAGCCAUGUUAAUUCCGUUUGUGCGAAGUGUAAUUUUUCUUCUAUAAAUGCAAGCUUUCUCAUUGCCCAUUUUUGUUAGAGGUUAUUCAUCCUCAUCCAAAUAUAAAGGUCAACCUUUAUAUUUGGAUAUUUCGCUGAUACUUAAUACCAGUCACUGUCUAGCAGCCUAACAUAUCUGUAGCAGUAUCUUCUAGUGUAUGUUGUCAUGCGCAAUUACUCUCCUGAAAUAGCUGAUGCAGCAUCGGCAUGCGUCUUGCAUUAACCUAUGCACAUGUGCUAUGCACCAUUUUACUUUUCUUGGUGUUUUUAGCCUUCAAUGCUUGCAGAGCAGAGUGGCUUCUCUCUUGAAUGCAAGCUUUCUCAUUUUCCAUAUUCCUAGUCUCGUUGAUGAUUGCUCCUCUUCCUUGAUAGCCUGGGUCUUUGUGCAAGCUACAGUGAAGUGAUUGAUUGCAGAAUCUGGUUUUGCUGCCACACUUGGUUGUGGUAACUGUGUUACAGAUGUGGGGGCCUGGUCAGUUGCAUUGGUAAGCAGUCCCUCGAGGUAAGCAUUUGCUCCUGCAGUCCGCAAAGCGACAUAGACUCCCAGUAUACACACACCGUAACUGGUGCGCCCCGUUCGUUCUGGCCUGCUGCAGCCAUGGGCAAAUUGUGCUUGUGGCCUACCUCGGCCAUGAUUUGCUCAAAACGGAGACCAGCAUAUGUGCUUACAUGGUUCGAAGUGUAUGAAGUUGAUAGCCGUAUGGGUGGAAAGGCCCGCAAGAAUGGCUGCCGAAGGUGAUGCCCACAAAAGCGACUUGUCCACAUUGCGACAAAGUGGGACACAAAGUGUGAGCCACACAUAGCGGCCCCCGAAAGAAAAUAAAUGUGCAGGUUGGAAAGGAGUUAACGCUAAAAUGCCGGGUAGUCCAUGUCGCUGUGUUGGUUGCGGCAGCAGAUGCCUGCGUCACCUGAUUGCUUCGCAAUGGAAGUUGCUCAUCUUCAACGGCAACUGUUGGUUCAAACAGGUGCAAGGCUCUGUCCAAUCUGUUUGUACCGCAGGUUGUCGCUCGUUACCAGACCACCACAUGUGACAAAGGCAAGCAUUAUGCCUGUAAGAUGGUUCGUAGCCAAUGUAUAAUGUAUUGUCAACCUCAAGCGGUGACUGAUUGCCGUUUAAUUUUGCUGUUAUGUCACUUGGUUACGGUCGCAGUUUUAUGUUUUUCGAAUAUUGCUGCCUGGUCGGUUGCACUGGGAAGCAGCCUCUCGAAGUAAGAAUUUGAUCCUGCAGUCUGCACAGCGACAUAGACUCCCAAUUUACGCACACCGUGAUUCGUGCUCCCCGUUCACCCUUUCCUGCUGCAGCCAUGGGCAAAUUGUGCCUCUGGCCUUUCUCGGCCGCGAUUAGGCAUGAACGGAGACCAGCAUAAGUGCUUACAUGGUCGGACGUGUAUGAAGUUGGGUGGAAAGGCCCGCAAAAGUGGCCGAUGAAGGUGAUGCCCACGAAAGCGACUUGUCCAUAUUGAGACAAUGUGGGACACCAAGUGUGAGCCACACAUUAGCGGCCUCCAAAAGAAAAGAAACAUGCAGGCUGGAAAGGAGUCAAUGCUAAAAUGAUGGGUAGUCCAUGUCGCUGUGUAGGCUGCGGCAGCAGAUGCCUGCGUCACCCGACUGCUUUGCACUGCAAGUUGCUCAUCUUUAACAGCGACUGUCGCCGCAAACAGGUGGGACACUCUGUCCAAUCUGUUUCUGCUGCUGGUUGUUGCUCGUUAGUAGACCACCACGUGCGACGAAGUCGGGCACUACGCCUGUAGGUAGGCAGCUCAAUGUACCCUAAGAGACCCGUGUAUGUGAAUGCUCACUGUUGCCAUAUGGUUCGUCGCCAAUGUAUGAUGUAUUGUCUGAACCUCAUGCGGUGACUGAUUGCUGUUUAAUUUUGCUGUUAUGUCACUUGAUUAUGGUCGCAGUGUUAUGUUUUUCGAAUAUUGCGGCCUGGUCGGUUGAACUGGGAAGCAGCCUCUCGAAGUAAGAAUUUGAUCCUGCAGUCUGCACAGCGACAUAGACUCCCAAUUUACGCACACCGUGAUUCGUGCUCCCCAUUCACCCUUUCCUGCUGCAGCCAUGGGCAAAUUGUGCCUCUGGCCUUUCUCGGCCGCGAUUAGGCAUGAACGGAGACCAGCAUAAGUGCUUACAUGGUCGGACCUGUAUGAAGUUGGGUGGAAAGGCCCGCAAAAGUGGCUGAUGAAGGUGAUGCCCACGAAAGCGACUUGUCCAUAUUGAGACAAUGUGGGACACCAAGUGUGAGCCACACAUUAGCGGCCUCCAAAAGAAAGAAACAUGCAGGCUGGAAAGGUGUCAAUGCUAAAAUGAUGGGUAGUCCAUGUCACUGUGUAGGCUGCGGCAGCAGAUGCCUGCGUCACCCGACUGCUUUGCACUGCAAAUUGCUCAUCUUUAACAGCGACUGUCGCCGCAAACAGGUGGGACACUCUGUCCAAUCUGUUUCUGCUGCUGGUUGUUGCUCGUUAGUAGACCACCACGUGCGACGAAGUCGGGCACUACGCCUGUAGGUAGGCAGCUCAAUGUACCCUAAGAGACCCGUGUAUGUGAAUGCUCACUGUUGCCAUAUAGUUCGUCGCCAAUGUAUAACGUAUUGUCUGAACCUCAUGCGGUGACUGAUUGCUGUUUAAUUUUGCUGUUAUGUCACUUGGUUAUGGUCGCAGUGUUAUGUUUUUAGAAUAUUGCGGCCUGGUCGGUUGCACUGGGAAGCAGUCUCUCGAAGUAAGCAUUCGCUCCUGCAGCCUGCACAGCGACAUAGACUCCCAAUUUUCAUGCACCGUGAUUCGUGCUCCCCGUUCGCGCUUUCCUGCUGCAGCAAUGGGCAUAUUGUGCCUCUGGCCUUUCUCGGCCGCGAUUAGGCAUGAACGGAGACCAGCAUACGUGCUUACAUAGUCCGAUGCGUAUGAAGUUGAUAGCUACAUGGGUGGAAAGGCCCGCAAAAGUAGCUGAUGGAGGCGAUGCCCACGAAAGCGACUUGUCCAUAGCGAGACAAUGUGAGACACCAAGUGUGAGCCACACAUUAGCGGCCCCCGAAAGAAAAGAAACGUGCAGGUUGGAAAGGAGUGAACGGCUAAAAUCUGGGGUAGCCCAUGUCGCUGUGUAGGCUGCGGCAGCAGAUGCCUGCGUCUCCCGAUUGCUUCGCAAUGCAAUUUGGGCAUUUUUAACGGCGACUGUCGCUGCAAAUAAGUGGCACACUCUGUCCAAUAUGUUUCCGCUGCUGGUUCUUGCUCGUUAACCUGACCACCACGUGCGACGACGACGGUGAGCCGUUUACGAGCUCGCGUCAAUGAUUCCAGCGUAUCUCGACAUGCAAAUUUUAUUUCUGCUAUUGCACGAGGAUGUACACUGCUUGUCUUCUGCCAAUAAAGUCGCGCGUUCUGUUCACUCACUUGUGGCUUGUUUGUAUGGGCGUCAGUAGAGGCUCUUGGCAAUUAGAACGCACCAGCUGAGCGGCAGCGAAGGCAUUGAGGCAUGCCGCAUAGCCUGCAGGGCAAGCACGGCACGUACCAGCGUACGCGACCGGCAAAAAACGGCCAUAUUGAAUUUUGCGCUAAAAAAAAAAGUUUGCACUUCCGCUUCCUGAUUGAGCAACGUCAUCUGGCGUCCCCGAAAGUUAGUUCCAUGCGCUGCCGCUGCUUAUUUUCGAACCACUGCCAAAGGUACAGUUUCCCUUCUCUAAAGUUGUUCUUUAUUCUAUGCGCAGACGCGGCUACGUGAAACUGGCGUAACUGUGUGCUGGCGCGGUCGCGAGCCGAGGGUGACGCGACUUUCCGUCCCAUCCAUCGAAGCGCCGUCUCCGCCCUGCCGAAUCGCGAUCUACGCUGGUGCGACAAUUUACGCUGCGAGGAUCGCUGGGCGAAACCCAUGCCGACAACCGAUUGAUAGGAAUCGGGAUCUACGCCGGUGCGACAGUUUACGCUGCGAGGAUCGCUGGGCGAAAACCAUGCUGACAAGAUCGGAACCUGUGAGAUGGAGUCGUAUUCCACCACUACUACUAAUGAUACGCAGCGCGAUGCCCUCAAGAGGAAACAAAACGCCCUUGCGAUUACUGUGCUGCUCACGUCCUGUUAAUGCAAUUCGGCAUACAUCGACACGGCGUGCAAGCACUGAAUAGUGUUUUAACGUAUGUGCGCUGGCACAAAACGUUAUAAACAGUCCCGAAAGAGCCUAUAUUGCAUUGGAUGUUAAAGUUCACCCUAGAUAUCAAUAAAUGUUGCAGGUAUGUGCCAAUUUCUUCACCUAAUUGCAGAGAACUCUCUCGGGCCGUUAUUGCAUUUUUAUGGCUUCCUCCAUGUCCCAAUAUGCUGAAUUUCAAGUACAUUGAAGUUGUUGCAGAUGCGAAAUGCCACUUUUAUGAUGUAUUUGGUUCGCCUGUUAAAUAUAGUUUAAAAAGUUCUGUUCAAAAAGAAAUUCCCAUCUUUUUGCAACUGGGAUAAACAAUGUUAGAGGUGGAAAGCUGUAUAAGUGAAAACUAAUACUUUAAUUUACUAGCACUGCUUUAAGUGAAUUUCUAAAGCACAGCAAUUUUGCUUGCCUUUUUCUGUUUUAUAAAUUAAAAUGUACAUCUUUGAAAGGCAGCCUGACCCUCUUUAAAUUCGAAAUAUUGGGCACAGACUGGGAACACUGCUUUCCAAUACACUUGCUGAAACUGCCUUAUCAGAACACCCUAGUACACAAUGCAGAUCCAUUAAGAAGUGACAAGACAGUUUGACAAUUUUCAUCAUUGAAAGACUUAGCGAAACCUUUUUUGGGUUGUUUUUCCUUGCUUUCAGACACUGCACAUUGCCCUUUAAGGCAUGUUUUCAGUGUUUCUUUUUUUAUGGGGAAGGCGUGUUAACAUCUUUUACACCAUGUCAAUUAUGUUGUGCCGUAAUGUGUUCUUGGAUGGAGUCUUGCCCUUUCAUUCAGUACAAUAUAAUGUAGUUUAUUGUGUCAUAGGCCAUUAUACAUUUGAGUAUGAGUGUAGCAUUUUGCUAAGUUUUGCCUCUGUCACCCAAGCUUGCAAGUUUGCUACCCACUGCUGGUGACGUGUGACACAUGUGACUUUUGUUCAAUAAAAGGAAGUCUAUCACUUA